AAGGGUGCGCAGGUGGGAAAAUAAGUCAGUGGUGAAAUACUGCCGCUUAACGGUAGAAUUGCCAUUGAUACUGUUUUUCUUGAGUAUGGUUGAGGUAGGUGGAAUGUGUUGUGUAGCGGUGAAAUGCAUAGAUAUGACACAGAACGCCGAUUGCGAAGGCAGCUUACUAAGCCAUUACUGACGCUGAAGCACGAAAGCGUGGGGAUCGAACAGGAUUAGAUACCCUGGUAGUCCACGCCGUAAACGAUGAUCACUCGCUGUUUGCGAUAUACAGCAAGCGGCUGAGCGAAAGCAUUAAGUGAUCCACCUGGGGAGUACGAUCGCAAGGUUGAAACUCAAAGGAAUUGACGGGGGCCCGCACAAGCGGAGGAACAUGUGGUUUAAUUCGAUGAUACGCGAGGAACCUUACCUGGGCUUAAAUGUAGGCUGCAUUCGGCUGAAAGGCUGAUUCCCUUCGGGGCUGCUUACAAGGUGCUGCAUGGUUGUCGUCAGCUCGUGCCGUGAGGUGUCGGGUUAAGUCCCAUAACGAGCGCAACCCUUAUCGUUAGUUGCCAGCGGGUUAAGCCGGGGACUCUAGCGAGACUGCCACCGUAAGGUGAGAGGAAGGUGGGGAUGACGUCAAAUCAGCACGGCCCUUAUGUCCAGGGCUACACACGUGUUACAAUGGCCGAUACAAAGGGCAGCUACUCCGCGAGGAGAUGCUAAUCUCUAAAGUCGGUCCCAGUUCGGAUUGGAGUCUGCAACCCGACUCCAUGAAGUUGGAUUCGCUAGUAAUCGCGCAUCAGCCAUGGCGCGGUGAAUACGUUCCCGGGCCUUGUACACACCGCCCGUCAAACCAUGGGAGCUGGGGGUGCCUGAAGUCUGCCACCGAGAGGAGCGGCC
This 882-nucleotide ribosomal RNA is filed under the name uncultured bacterium. Its description in RNAcentral is "bacterial SSU rRNA". It matches the Rfam family "Bacterial small subunit ribosomal RNA", at positions 563 to 1457 of the family's 1533-position model. The record is from RNAcentral.